UUGGAGGAUGUAUAGCGAUAGCUAAUUGCAUCGAAAAUAUGAUGCAAGAUCGAUUUAUUGAAUAAAAUUCUGGGUAGAAUUAUGAUUAUGACAUUGUCUAUCCAUGUGUCUUGACCAAAUUACGUGCCAGCAGUCGCGGUAAUACGUAGAAGACUAGUGUUAUUCAUCUUUAAUAGGUUUAAAGGGUACCUAGACGGUAAAUCAAGCCCUAGACGGGACUAAUUUGCUAGAGUUACUUGUGAGGGGGUUUUAAAGUACUAAUGGUGUAGAGAUGAAAUUUUGUAAUACCAUUUUUCGAAAGGAAAGUAAUGGCACAGGUAUAGGCGAAAGCAUCCCCUUAUGUGAUAACUGACGUUGAAGGACGAAGGCUUUGAGUCGCGAACAGGAUUAGAUACCCUGGUAGUCAAAGCAGAAAAUAAUGAGUGUCAUAGAUUAGAUAUUAAAGUUUAUUCUAUAAAUGAAAGUGUAAGCACUCCACCUCAAGAGUAAUUUGGCAACAUUGGAACUGAAAUCAUUAGACCGUUUCUGAAACCAGUAGUGAAGUAUGUUGUUUAAUUUGAUAAUCCGCAAAAAACCUUACCACAAUUUGAAUAUUUAUAUCGUUGAUAUAAUUACAAGCGUUGCACGGCUGUCUUCAGUUAAUGUCGUGAGAUUUUGGUUAGAUCCAUUAAAUUAACGCAAGCCCUUACUUUAUUUUAAAAUAAAGUCGUUCCCCACUAGAUUGGAUAAGAUAACAGGGAUUAAGACAAGUCAUCAUGGCCUGAAUAUUGUGGGCUAUAG
This 780-nucleotide ribosomal RNA is filed under the name Psora decipiens. RNAcentral describes it as "SSU rRNA". It matches the Rfam family "Bacterial small subunit ribosomal RNA", at positions 364 to 1219 of the family's 1533-position model. Lineage: Eukaryota; Fungi; Ascomycota; Lecanoromycetes; Lecanorales; Psoraceae. The record is from RNAcentral.